Molecule: long non-coding RNA, 446 nt
Organism: Scatophagus argus
Lineage: Eukaryota; Metazoa; Chordata; Actinopteri; Scatophagidae
Exons: 3
Source: RefSeq, a predicted model, not a curated record
GUAGAAAACAAAUCUGCUGUGUUAAAGUUCCUGGAUUAUAUGUUGGAUUUUUGGGUCUCUUACAGACGUGUUGCUUUACCGUCAGCUCAAAGUGGGAAAACCUGCAUGGUUUUUGAAAGGUGAUCCCUGAAAUAAAAUUUCUUCUUCUGUGGAAACGGGGCGACUGCUUAAUAGAGCAGCAGGUCGGACAGCAGGCAGGGUGGCGACGGACCUGCCUGACCCUAAACUCCAUUAGUCAUCCCAGGCCGAUCCUCAGAACCUUUUCCCACAGGCGCACAGCCGGCCGGACCAGAAGCAUCGUCACCCCAGCAACAGGAACGUGAGCUAACUGCAGAACACGAGGGGCGAAUAGCCGGGAUGUCCAAGGAUGACGCUGGCAUCUGCGCUGGCUGGAAGGGAUUGUGGCAUGACUGUGCCCCAGUGCACAAAGCAAAGCUCCAUAAAGA